GAUGAACGCUGGCGGCGUGCUUAACACAUGCAAGUCGAACGGAAAGGCCACAGCUUGCUGUGGUACUCGAGUGGCGAACGGGUGAGUAACACGUGGGUAAUCUGCCCUUUACUUCGGGAUAAGCUUGGGAAACUGGGGCUAAUACCGGAUAGGAAUCACAUGUGCGUGUGGGGUUUGAAAGCAUUUGCGGUAUGGGGUGAGCUCGCGGCUUAUCAGCUCGUGGGUGGGGUAUUGGCCGACCAAGGCGUCGACGGGUAGCCGGCCUGAGAGGGGGAACGGCGACAAUGGGACUGAGAGACGGCCCAGACUCGUACGGGAGGCAGCAGUGGGGAAUAUUGCACAAUGGGCGCAAGCCUGAUGCAGCGACGCCGCGUGCGGGAUGACGGCCUUCGGGUUGUAAACUCCUUUCGUCAGGGACGAAGCGAAAGUGACGGUACCUGGAUAAGAAGCACCGGCUAACUACGUG
This 466-nucleotide ribosomal RNA is filed under the name uncultured bacterium. RNAcentral describes it as "partial 16S ribosomal RNA". It matches the Rfam family "Bacterial small subunit ribosomal RNA", at positions 28 to 507 of the family's 1533-position model. The record is from RNAcentral.